UUAUAGGCACUUAAUCAGUGUCUUUUCAUAGUAGAGACAUCAACAGAUUAGCUUUACAGGGAAUCAUUUAACAUUAUGCAGAGGAUCCUUAUUAUCCUCUUAGUUUAUGUAAAGUAAGUUGCCUACUUUUUUAUUUUCCAGCGAUCCAGAUCGGAAGCACAAUUUGCACGCUGGGGAAGGUACGCCAAGAGAAGGAAAUUGGACAAAGCCAACAACUCACUGACCGUGAUGGCCAUCCCGGAGAAAAAAACAAUACACGUAUUGUAACUAAAGUAUGCAGAGAAUCAUUAGUAGAUGAAUAUGCAAAAAAUCAUUAUUAUCUUGGCCCUUCUUCGAAUUCUGUCUUCUGAAACCUCAGGCAAACCUAAUCAAACCCAGCCAAUUUGAAUUACGAGAUGCAAUCAAUAGAAGAUAUUCAUGAUUGUUUUUGGAAUAUUAUUUGAGGUUGAAGAUCAUAUAAUUUGAAGCAGAAGCUAUUCAUGAAAUCCUAGGGUUUUAUCAGGAGAAGCUUUUUAUUUGUAAAUAAAAAACCAGGGUAAGCUUAAUUGAUCAAAGCCUAAAAAUCCUAGGGAUUUUACAGGAUUUAGAGAAUCGAUCAAGUUCGAUUUUGGAAGGAAGGCCUUCGUAGAUAGACUGCAACUCUUUGAGUUUGAUCCAAGUCCGACUGUGGAAGGAAUUCAAUGUACUUGCAGUGGUUGUCCAAAAAAAAAAGUGGACUUGGAGUAAGUUUAUAUUUCCCCUUCAAAUAGGAACUAACGUGUCUUGAUUACAUGUUUGUAUGUAAUUUAUUGAGUGUAGGUAAGUUCUUUGUUGGUCAAUCAAUAUUCGUUGGUCUAAUUUUUGAGUGAACAUGGGUUCUUUUUUCAUGAUUCCAUUGUACGGAGGAUGAUCUUAGGGUCCCUUUUGGUAGGUAAGACUCAAAGGGUACACCUAAUAUUUUCAAUUUCAGCCACAAAAACUUCAAUCAAUUUAUUCAACUGUUUGAAUGAAUCCACCAAGCACAAAGGGUUCAAACGGAGACUAAUUUAGUUCUGUAUCAGGAGAAGAUACAGACUGAUCUACUGCUUAUCCUAAAAUCGAGCUUCCGGUAUCAGAAGAAGUUGAGUAAGUUGCAAUAACUUUUAAUAACUAUUUACGUAAGUUCAAGUAAAAUAGGAACCUCUUUCGGUGGAGCUUUUACUACUAUACUUGAUAGGCUCAAAGUCUCCUUUUGGACCAUCUCUUUGAUAAUUUUGGGAACUACUUCACUCUUUGCGUGUACCUAUACAAUUCAUAUUGGUUGUUUAGAUCUGAAAACUGAGAUAUUUUACAGAGACCACCAUUGAGACUGUAAGAAAUAUUAGCAGAUUUUCCCUUAAACAUGAAUUUUAACGGGGAUGCUUUAAUCCCAGCGAAACUUGAACUGAUGGUAAUUCAAUGGCUACAAUAGCAUAAGAGUAUAAUAUAUUGUUUCGGUUGCGCGCAGCAUGAGGAUGAGGACUAUAGACUGAUCUUUCUUUAGUUAGCAGUAUUUUCUUUGCGUUUGAAAAAUAGAUCAGCUGCUACAGAGGACAACAAAACAGCUAGCCACCCAAAACCAUCCAUUGCCAGUGAGACAUCAAGAUAAAGAUGCGGUUUGGAAUAAUUUCCUCCUGGAUUCAUGGGUAAUCUCUUGGUGUAGAAGAGUGAUAGUAUACACCACCAGUCUAUAUAUUAUUAACUUUCUUUAACUUCAUAUAUCUUUCUGAUUAUAUUACUUUGGAAGAGUCUUGGUAUGACUUGGUUCUUCCGUUCAACCCUGUUAAUUAAAUUUUCUUUACCUGAGCUCUGAUUAAUAUUUCAUACUCUUGAUAUCUAUUGAUUUCAUAUAGGUUCAUUUUUGUACGUAUUCAUGGAUAUGCAGAUGACAUAGGUUUUCUCAUUUCAGUAUAUCAUCGGCUCUUGGCUGAAAACAAAAACGUUUGUGCAAGUCAUUUUUUUUUUUGUUUCUAUAUAGACCAAUCAAUGUAGAAGGCUUGGAGCAACAUUCUUAACAUCGACUCUAUAAUCUUUUUGUGUUUGCCAGCCUCAAAAGCCAUCUCUACUUUAUUGCAGGAUUGAAGAUCGACAAAUAGUUGACUAUGUACUGAAUCACUGUUGAGGUAGUUCCUUUGCUUGAUCAAAUGCAGCCUGUGCAAAUGAAUUUGAUGCCGCAUUCACUGCCUGCGGUCUCUACCUUGGGGCUUUGUAUCUAAUUAUUUAGGUGCUAAAAUAUCUUGCCGGUGCUGCAAAUCAGUGAUAUAAUAAAAGGUUUUUUAAAGUUGUGAAGGCAAGUAAUGAAUUGACCGUUUCAUCUGAGAAUUCCAAGAAUCUUCAAAUAAUGUCAGGGAUAACUCAGAUUUAUAGCAUCACUUAUGACAGAAGAGCACCAGAAUGGGUAGUGAUGUACGCGUGCGGCACCGACAUCACUGGUUCAUCUGAUCAUGGCUCUUCAGUUGCACAUGAAUAAGUAAGACAUUAGGUAUUAUCUAAUUUACUAAAGGACGACCCACUUAAAACCGUCUAAUUAAUUGCAUUCCAUUGUUUUUCAUUUCUAAAAGCAUAUAUUUCCUAUCUAAAGAUUUCGUCCUUGACACAUGCAUCCUUUUUGUUUGCUGCUUCUGCAAGUACUCAUGGUUGCAUCAAAAUUGGACUUCUGAUUCAAUUCUUCUAUGUGAGGUAGAAUUGAUUGUCAUGGUACAUCCGUUACUGAUGGAGUUCUUCGGUAAAUAUCAGAUUGAAGGUGCUGGCGAAAAAUUUCUCCAAGGGGAUUGCUUUUACCAAUAUGGUGUUUGUACGCUUUUUAUUUUGUAUCUGGGGUACUGACGGAAGAGUUGCUUUUACCAGUAUGCUGCCCGCUGCACCAAACACAUGAGUUAAUUCAAGAGCAGGGAAGAGGUGAUGCACUCAAGAAGUGCCAGUUGGGGGUUUUCAGGAUUUAGCAAACAACCCAAAAGUAGCUCUGGCAGCAACAUAAAUAGGGCUCUUCAUUCAUGUGUAAGUUGGUGAAUGAUAAUAAUUUUUUGUUUGUUUCUUCAUUGUUUUUUCUGUGUUAGUUGUUCGACGAUCCUCAGCAUUAUGAACAUAAUUUAUUUUUUAAAGAAAAAACUUGGACGGGGGUGAUGUAUGUUGGAUUUUUGAACACCAUAGAGAA
This is a long non-coding RNA of Papaver somniferum (opium poppy), 3151 nucleotides long. RefSeq lists it as uncharacterized. NCBI's taxonomy places the organism in Eukaryota, Viridiplantae, Streptophyta, Magnoliopsida, Ranunculales, Papaveraceae. The transcript is spliced from 5 exons. The record is from RefSeq and is a predicted model, not a curated record.